RNAcentral lists this transfer RNA (76 nucleotides) under Brachybacterium saurashtrense. RNAcentral's name for it is "tRNA-Arg". It matches the Rfam family "tRNA". From Rfam's summary of the family: Transfer RNA (tRNA) molecules are approximately 80 nucleotides in length. The record is from RNAcentral. Lineage: Bacteria; Bacillati; Actinomycetota; Actinomycetes; Micrococcales; Dermabacteraceae.
GCCCGCGUAGCUCAGUGGAUAGAGCGUCUGCCUCCGGAGCAGAAGGUCGCAGGUUCGAAUCCUGCCGCGGGCACCA